Molecule: ribosomal RNA, 229 nt
Filed under: uncultured bacterium
Lineage: Bacteria
Description: partial 16S ribosomal RNA
Rfam family: Bacterial small subunit ribosomal RNA
Source: RNAcentral
UGCGCAGGCGGAAUGAUAAGUCAGUGGUGAAAGCCUACAGCUUAACUGUAGAAUUGCCAUUGAUACUGUCGUUCUGGAGUACAGUUGAAGUGGGCGGAAUGUGUCAUGUAGCGGUGAAAUGCAUAGAUAUGACACAGAACACCGAUAGCGAAGGCAGCUCACUAAGCUGAAACUGACGCUCAUGCACGAAAGCGUGGGGAGCAAACAGGAUUAGAUACCCUGGUAGUCC